RNAcentral lists this long non-coding RNA (711 nucleotides) under Anser brachyrhynchus (Pink-footed goose). Its description in RNAcentral is "lncRNA (ENSABRG00000008355.1)". The record is from RNAcentral. Lineage: Eukaryota; Metazoa; Chordata; Aves; Anseriformes; Anatidae.
AUUAAAAAUAUUCAGUGCACACAUCAGCUUAAAAGCACUUAAAACCCAUCGAAGUGCAGCUUGAUAUCCCAGCGUGCUGCCUGCUUUGGCCUCAUCCAACAAGACACCAAGACACUCAACCACGUUAGUCAUCGCCGUGGUUUCAAAAAACAUUCUGCAAUUUACCUGCAAAAUGGAAUUACUGUUUAUGGCUGUUAGCAGUUGCAACAUUUCUUUACGCCCGGUGACCCCCAUUUCCAUGUGCCCAGCUCCCAGAAGGCGGCUGAGUCUGGUGCGGGGACGGCUCAAAGCACACAGGCUCCAGGGGGGCUGCUCCAACGGGACGAGUGUCUGCGGGAGGAAUUGCCAAGCCCUGCAAAGCCCGCCUAGCCCACCUGUGUCCUGGGGGCUCGCCCUCAGCUCUGAAUGAUCAGAAGGCUCAAGGAAGGCCAGUGUUCUGCAGUGUCCUUCGGCGGUGCCGUCUGGUGGGGAAGGAGCUCGCAACAGCUGCAAGAACCGACCCCUGUGAGCUUUCUGCCCACGAUAACCCCAGAAAUUUCAAGCAACAGUUCUUGGAAACCAUAUGGAGAUCAGCCUGGGAGUUUUGCAAGACUACCCUACAGGCUACGAGCCAGGAUAGAGAGCCUGAACGAGUCUUCUCCACUCUGCUGGCCACAAAAUGGCAUUCAAUUUCAUGGCUGGAGAAUAAAAAACACCUUUACGCUUAGUUAG